Molecule: long non-coding RNA, 141 nt
Organism: Exaiptasia diaphana
Lineage: Eukaryota; Metazoa; Cnidaria; Anthozoa; Actiniaria; Aiptasiidae
Exons: 2
Source: RefSeq, a predicted model, not a curated record
GGAUUCAUUAACACAAUUUCCCGAUGACAUAAGAACGAGUAGCAAAGUAGCACCGAAAUAUGUAAGUACCAAAUACAAGCCAUCAAAAACCUGACAUUUAGUAUGUUGGUAGUGUCUUGUGUAGCUGUUCUACAUUGCUAC